AAAUUGAAGAGUUUGAUCAUGGCUCAGAUUGAACGCUGGCGGCAGGCCUAACACAUGCAAGUCGAACGGUAGCACAGAGGAGCUUGCUCCUUGGGUGACGAGUGGCGGACGGGUGAGUAAUGUCUGGGAAACUGCCCGAUGGAGGGGGAUAACUACUGGAAACGGUAGCUAAUACCGCAUAACGUCGCAAGACCAAAGAGGGGGACCUUCGGGCCUCUUGCCAUCGGAUGUGCCCAGAUGGGAUUAGCUAGUAGGUGGGGUAACGGCUCACCUAGGCGACGAUCCCUAGCUGGUCUGAGAGGAUGACCAGCCACACUGGAACUGAGACACGGUCCAGACUCCUACGGGAGGCAGCAGUGGGGAAUAUUGCACAAUGGGCGCAAGCCUGAUGCAGCCAUGCCGCGUGUAUGAAGAAGGCCUUCGGGUUGUAAAGUACUUUCAGCGAGGAGGAAGGCGUUAAGGUUAAUAACCUUAGCGAUUGACGUUACUCGCAGAAGAAGCACCGGCUAACUCCGUGCCAGCAGCCGCGGUAAUACGGAGGGUGCAAGCGUUAAUCGGAAUUACUGGGCGUAAAGCGCACGCAGGCGGUUUGUUAAGUCAGAUGUGAAAUCCCCGGGCUCAACCUGGGAACUGCAUUUGAAACUGGCAAGCUUGAGUCUCGUAGAGGGGGGUAGAAUUCCAGGUGUAGCGGUGAAAUGCGUAGAGAUCUGGAGGAAUACCGGUGGCGAAGGCGGCCCCCUGGACGAAGACUGACGCUCAGGUGCGAAAGCGUGGGGAGCAAACAGGAUUAGAUACCCUGGUAGUCCACGCCGUAAACGAUGUCUAUUUGGAGGUUGUUCCCUUGAGGAGUGGCUUCCGGAGCUAACGCGUUAAAUAGACCGCCUGGGGAGUACGGCCGCAAGGUUAAAACUCAAAUGAAUUGACGGGGGCCCGCACAAGCGGUGGAGCAUGUGGUUUAAUUCGAUGCAACGCGAAGAACCUUACCUACUCUUGACAUCCAGAGAACUUAGCAGAGAUGCUUUGGUGCCUUCGGGAACUCUGAGACAGGUGCUGCAUGGCUGUCGUCAGCUCGUGUUGUGAAAUGUUGGGUUAAGUCCCGCAACGAGCGCAACCCUUAUCCUUUGUUGCCAGCGGUUCGGCCGGGAACUCAAAGGAGACUGCCAGUGAUAAACUGGAGGAAGGUGGGGAUGACGUCAAGUCAUCAUGGCCCUUACGAGUAGGGCUACACACGUGCUACAAUGGCAUAUACAAAGAGAAGCGACCUCGCGAGAGCAAGCGGACCUCAUAAAGUAUGUCGUAGUCCGGAUUGGAGUCUGCAACUCGACUCCAUGAAGUCGGAAUCGCUAGUAAUCGUAGAUCAGAAUGCUACGGUGAAUACGUUCCCGGGCCUUGUACACACCGCCCGUCACACCAUGGGAGUGGGUUGCAAAAGAAGUAGGUAGCUUAACCUUCGGGAGGGCGCUUACCACUUUGUGAUUCAUGACUGGGGUGAAGUCGUAACAAGGUAACCGUAGGGGAACCUGCGGUUGGAUCACCUCCUUACCUUAAAGAAGC
This 1554-nucleotide ribosomal RNA is filed under the name Citrobacter freundii. Its description in RNAcentral is "bacterial SSU rRNA". It matches the Rfam family "Bacterial small subunit ribosomal RNA". The record is from RNAcentral. Lineage: Bacteria; Pseudomonadati; Pseudomonadota; Gammaproteobacteria; Enterobacterales; Enterobacteriaceae.